RNAcentral lists this ribosomal RNA (436 nucleotides) under uncultured bacterium. RNAcentral describes it as "bacterial SSU rRNA". It matches the Rfam family "Bacterial small subunit ribosomal RNA", at positions 958 to 1393 of the family's 1533-position model. The record is from RNAcentral.
AACGGGAAGAACCUUACCACCCCUUGACAUACUCGGAACUUGGCAGAGAUGCCUUGGUGCCUUCGGGAGCCGAGAUACAGGUGCUGCAUGGCUGUCGUCAGCUCGUGUCGUGAGAUGUUGGGUUAAGUCCCGUAACGAGCGCAACCCUUAUCCUUAUUUGCCAGCGGGUCAUGCCGGGAACUCUAAGGAGACUGCCGGUGACAAACCGGAGGAAGGCGGGGACGAGGUCGAGUCAUCAUGGCCCUUAUGGCCAGGGCUACACACGUGCUACAAUGGACGGUACAGAGGGUUGCCAACCCGCGAGGGGGAGCCAAUCCCUUAAAGCCGUUCGUAGUCCGGAUCGGAGUCUGCAACUCGACUCCGUGAAGUAGGAAUCGCUAGUAAUCGCGGAUCAGCAUUGCCGCGGUGAAUACGUUCCCGGGUCUUGUACACACGC